UACGUAGGGUGCAAGCGUUAAUCGGAAUUACUGGGCGUAAAGCGUGCGCAGGCGGUGAUGUAAGACAGAUGUGAAAUCCCCGGGCUCAACCUGGGAACUGCAUUUGUGACUGCAUCGCUGGAGUGCGGCAGAGGGGGAUGGAAUUCCGCGUGUAGCAGUGAAAUGCGUAAAUAUGCGGAGGAACACCGAUGGCGAAGGCAAUCCCCUGGGCCUGCACUGACGCUCAUGCACGAAAGCGUGGGGAGCAAACAGG
This 253-nucleotide ribosomal RNA is filed under the name uncultured bacterium. Its description in RNAcentral is "partial 16S ribosomal RNA". It matches the Rfam family "Bacterial small subunit ribosomal RNA", at positions 524 to 776 of the family's 1533-position model. The record is from RNAcentral.